Molecule: ribosomal RNA, 253 nt
Filed under: uncultured bacterium
Lineage: Bacteria
Description: partial 16S ribosomal RNA
Rfam family: Bacterial small subunit ribosomal RNA
Source: RNAcentral
UACGAAGGGGGCUAGCGUUGUUCGGAAUCACUGGGCGUAAAGCGCACGUAGGCGGAUUUGUUAGUCAGGGGUGAAAUCCCGGGGCUCAACCUCGGAACUGCCUUUGAUACUGCAAAUCUCGAGUCUGAUAGAGGUGAGUGGAAUUCCUAGUGUAGAGGUGAAAUUCGUAGAUAUUAGGAAGAGCACCAGUGGCGAAGGCGGCUCACUGGAUCGGUACUGACGCUGAGGUGCGAAAGUGUGGGGAGCAAACAGG